This 740-nucleotide unclassified non-coding RNA is filed under the name Hevea brasiliensis (rubber tree). The record is from RNAcentral. Lineage: Eukaryota; Viridiplantae; Streptophyta; Magnoliopsida; Malpighiales; Euphorbiaceae.
GAGUGGACCUAUAGAGGAAAGGAGAGAUGAAUAAGGAAAGGGAAAUGGGGAAACUUUUGUCUCUUCCUAACAUUCCAAAAGCCACUGUAGACUAUUGGAUACAUGGAAAAUACAUUAAACAGUCAAUAGAAAUCUCUAACAGCCAGUUUAUAUAGGUGGGUAUAUUUCCUCCUAAGAGAGGAUGUCUUUUGAACAAUUACUGUGCACUCUCAGCCGUGCACGGGGUACUGGUACAAUGACAAACAGGCUUACCAGCUGCUUCCCAGCCGUUGAAGCCACGUUCCAAGACCAAGAUGUUUUUUAUUUCUGUAUCCUCUUUCAUCUCUUCCAGAUAAUUAGCAAACCUUCGAGCACAAGUUGGACCACGAACCUGGCUCAAAGCGCAAUGAAAAACAAGGGUAUCCUUCCCUUUGACUUGCUGAACGAGCUGAGAGAUCCUAUCAGCAAAGGUAUCACUCGCGUAGUGCAGCGACCCAGCUAUAUGCCCAUCAUAACUCCUCUCAUCGUCCCUCACGUCGAUAAUAGCAAUAUUGGGGCGGCGUUUGAGGGUAAGAAGUUGAGAGCCCGUUACGUACGAGAUGCUCCGAGACAUUAAUCCUUACUUUGUUGGAGGGGAGAGAGACUGAGGCAAACUGGGGCUAGAGCAAACCUUUUCGUCCGCUUCUUUUAAUGGUCGUUGAAUUCGGUAAAAUGCCUUUUUUUUCGUUCAUGAUUAUUUAAUCCCCGCAUAUUUGUCAAUA